CGCGGUAUUUUGACUGUGCGAAGGUAGCAUAAUCAUUUGUCUUUUAAUUGAAGACUUGUAUGAAUGGCUGAACGAGAAAAUAACUGUCUCUUUAAAAAAUCUUGAAUUUUACUUUUAAGUGAAAAGGCUUAAAUAAUUUUAAGGGACGAUAAGACCCUAUAAAUCUUUAUAUUAUUUUCUUUAUCUUUCAAAUUAUAUAUUAAAAGAAAAAAAAAAAAAAAAUAUUAUAUUGGGGAGAUAAAAAUAUAAUUUUUAACUGUUUUAAAUACAAAACAAUAAUUUUUGCUUUAUUAAAAAUUGAUCCUUUUUAAAGAUUUUAAGAUUAAGUUACUUUAGGGAUAACAGCGUAAUUUUUUUUGAGAGUUCUUAUCGAAAAAAAAGUUUGCGACCUCGAUGUUGAAUUAAAAAUAUCCUUAUAAGUGCAGAAGCUAUAAAGGAAAGUCUGUUCGACUUUUAAAAUUUUACGU
This 467-nucleotide ribosomal RNA is filed under the name Aegla schmitti. RNAcentral's name for it is "partial 16S ribosomal RNA". It matches the Rfam family "Bacterial large subunit ribosomal RNA", at positions 1932 to 2601 of the family's 2925-position model. The record is from RNAcentral. Lineage: Eukaryota; Metazoa; Arthropoda; Malacostraca; Decapoda; Aeglidae.